GGGGCUGUAGCUCAGAGGCAAAGCAUCUGCCUCACAUGCAAAAGGUCCAAGUUCCAAUCCGCAGCAUCU
Non-coding RNA from Podarcis lilfordi (Lilford's wall lizard), 69 nucleotides. The record is from the annotation of a GenBank genome assembly. Lineage: Eukaryota; Metazoa; Chordata; Lepidosauria; Squamata; Lacertidae.